UACGUAGGGUGCAAGCGUUAAUCGGAAUUACUGGGCGUAAAGCGUGCGCAGGCGGUUCGUUGUGUCGGCGGUGAAAGCCCCGGGCUUAACCUGGGAAUGGCCGUCGAAACUGGCGAACUGGAGUGUGGCAGAGGGGGGUGGAAUUCCGCGUGUAGCAGUGAAAUGCGUAGAGAUGCGGAGGAACACCGAUGGCGAAGGCAGCCCCCUGGGCUGACACUGACGCUCAGGCACGAAAGCGUGGGGAGCAAACAGG
RNAcentral lists this ribosomal RNA (253 nucleotides) under uncultured bacterium. RNAcentral describes it as "partial 16S ribosomal RNA". It matches the Rfam family "Bacterial small subunit ribosomal RNA", at positions 524 to 776 of the family's 1533-position model. The record is from RNAcentral.